Molecule: long non-coding RNA, 177 nt
Organism: Sander lucioperca (pikeperch)
Lineage: Eukaryota; Metazoa; Chordata; Actinopteri; Perciformes; Percidae
Exons: 3
Source: RefSeq, a predicted model, not a curated record
AUCUGCCUCAGGAUCUCAAGCCUCCAGGAACAGUGCCAUGUCUUAAAGCAACCAUGGGCUUAGUGGUUAAACGGUGGAACUGCACCCCUCUGGCCCAGAAAGACUUUUCCCAUAGACUUUGCAUGGCGAAAGAAACUUCUAUAUUUCAGUGGAUCAUUUUUUUUGGGGUACAUCAAC